AUUGAACGCUGGCGGCAUGCUUUACACAUGCAAGUCGAACGGUAACAGGUUAAGCUGACGAGUGGCGAACGGGUGAGUAAUGCAUCGGAACGUGCCCGGUCGUGGGGGAUAACGCAGCGAAAGCUGCGCUAAUACCGCAUACGCUCUAAGGAUGAAAGCGGGGGACCGUAAGGACUCGCGCGAUCGGAGCGGCCGAUGUCAGAUUAGGUAGUUGGUGGGGUAAAGGCUCACCAAGCCAACGAUCGGUAGCUGGUCUGAGAGGACGACCCGCCACACUGGGACUGAGACACGGCCCAGACUCCUACGGGAGGCAGCAGUGGGGAAUUUUGGACAAUGGGCGAAAGCCUGAUCCAGCAAUGCCGCGUGCAGGAAGAAGGCCUUCGGGUUGUAAACUGCUUUUGUACGGAGCGAAAAGGUCUCCUCUAAUACAGGGGGCUCAUGACGGUACCGUAAGAAUAAGCACCGGCUAACUACGUGCCAGCCGCCGCAGUAA
Molecule: ribosomal RNA, 493 nt
Filed under: uncultured bacterium
Lineage: Bacteria
Description: partial 16S ribosomal RNA
Rfam family: Bacterial small subunit ribosomal RNA
Source: RNAcentral